RNAcentral lists this unclassified non-coding RNA (213 nucleotides) under Hevea brasiliensis (rubber tree). Lineage: Eukaryota; Viridiplantae; Streptophyta; Magnoliopsida; Malpighiales; Euphorbiaceae. The record is from RNAcentral.
AUUAUCCGGAGUGUCAAUGUGGUAGUUUAAGGCAGUGGAGAAGGAUCGUGAUGUCUGAGGGGCUUGACGGAAAACUUGACGGAUCUCGCGGAGACGCACGGCAGCGAGACGAGCUAGCAUUUUCGAGGACGCUGACUUUGAAGAAGAUAGAAAUCCCCGAUUCUGAUACCAGAAAACCGAGAAACGAAUGAAGUCAGGCGAGCAGCUUCCCAC